ACAACAAACAACGGUGUCACCUUCAAGG
RNAcentral lists this non-coding RNA (28 nucleotides) under Mus musculus (house mouse). Lineage: Eukaryota; Metazoa; Chordata; Mammalia; Rodentia; Muridae. The record is from RNAcentral.